AUUGAACGCUGGCGGCAUGCUUUACACAUGCAAGUCGAACGGUAACAGGGUGCUUGCACCGCUGACGAGUGGCGAACGGGUGAGUAAUGCGUCGGAACGUGCCGAGUAGUGGGGGAUAACGCAGCGAAAGUUGUGCUAAUACCGCAUACGUACUGAGGUAGAAAGUGGGGGACCUUCGGGCCUCACGCUAUUCGAGCGGCCGACGUCUGAUUAGCUAGUAGGUGAGGUAAAGGCUCACCUAGGCGACGAUCAGUAGCGGGUCUGAGAGGAUGAUCCGCCACACUGGGACUGAGACAGGGCCGAGACUCCUGCGGGAGGCAGCAGUGGGGAAUUUUGGACAAUGGGCGAAAGCCUGAUCCAGCCAUGCCGCGUGUCUGAAGAAGGCCUUCGGGUUGUAAAGGACUUUUGUCAGGGAGGAAAUCCCUAGUGCUAAUAACACUGGGGGAUGACAGUACCUGAAGAAUAAGCACCGGCUAACUACGUGCCAGCCGCCGCGGUAA
Molecule: ribosomal RNA, 500 nt
Filed under: uncultured bacterium
Lineage: Bacteria
Description: partial 16S ribosomal RNA
Rfam family: Bacterial small subunit ribosomal RNA
Source: RNAcentral